Molecule: ribosomal RNA, 464 nt
Filed under: uncultured bacterium
Lineage: Bacteria
Description: bacterial SSU rRNA
Rfam family: Bacterial small subunit ribosomal RNA
Source: RNAcentral
UCCAGACUCCUACGGGAGGCAGCAGUGAGGAAUAUUGGUCAAUGGCCGAGAGGCUGAACCAGCCAAGUCGCGUGAGGGAAGACGGCCCUACGGGUUGUAAACCUCUUUUGUCGGGGAGCAAAGCGAGUCACGUGUGACUCAUUGAGAGUACCCGAAGAAAAAGCAUCGGCUAACUCCGUGCCAGCAGCCGCGGUAAUACGGAGGAUGCGAGCGUUAUCCGGAUUUAUUGGGUUUAAAGGGUGCGCAGGCGGAGGUGCAAGUCAGCGGUCAAAUUGCGGGGCUCAACCCCGUACUGCCGUUGAAACUGGCAGUCUCGAGUUGGAGAGAAGUAUGCGGAAUGCGCGGUGUAGCGGUGAAAUGCAUAGAUAUCGCGCAGAACUCCGAUUGCGAAGGCAGCAUGCCGGCUCCACACUGACGCUGAGGCACGAAAGCGUGGGUAUCGAACAGGAUUAGAUACCCCAGUA